GACGCCUGCCCGGUGCUGGAAGGUUAAGGGGAUCUGUUAGAGCAAUCGAAGCAGUGAACUUAAGCCCCAGUAAACGGCGGCCGUAACUAUACCGGUCCUAAGGUAGCGAAAUUCCUUGUCGGGUAAGUUCCGACCCGCACGAAAGGCGUAACGAUUUGGGCACUGUCUCAACAACAGACUCGGUGAAAUUGUAAUUCCGGUGAAGAUGCCGGAUACCUG
This 219-nucleotide ribosomal RNA is filed under the name Clostridioides difficile. RNAcentral describes it as "partial 23S ribosomal RNA". It matches the Rfam family "Bacterial large subunit ribosomal RNA", at positions 1854 to 2072 of the family's 2925-position model. The record is from RNAcentral. Lineage: Bacteria; Bacillati; Bacillota; Clostridia; Peptostreptococcales; Peptostreptococcaceae.